GGGGAGUAUGUUUGCAAGAAUGAAACUCAAAGGAAUUGAUGGGGGCCCGCACAAGCGGUGGAGCAUGUGGUUUAAAUUGAUGCAAAGCGAAGAACCUUACCAGGGCUUGACAUGUCGCGAAUCCUCUUGAAAGAGAGGGUUGCCCUCAGGAACACGGACACAGGUAGUGCAUGGCUGUCGUCACCUCGUGCCAUAAGGUGCUGGGUUAAGUCUCGCAAUGAGCGCAACCCUCGUGUUGAGGUGCCACUAUGAGUUUGGAACCCUGAACAGACCGCCGGUGUUAAGCCGGAGGAAGGAGAGGAUGAGGCCAUGUCAUCGUUCCCCUUAUGCCCUGGACGACACACGUGCUACAAUGGGCGGGACAAAGGGUUGCGAUCUCGUGAGGGUGAGCUAACUCCAAAAACUCGUCCUCAAUUCGGAUUGCAGGCUGGAACUCACCUGCAUGAAGCAGGAAUUGCUAGUAAUUGCCGGUCAGCGAUAUGGCGGUGAAAUCCGUUCCCGGGCCUUGUACACACCGCCCGUCACACUAUAGGUGCUAGCCAUGUUUGAAGUCGUUACCCUUAACCGUAAGGAGGGGAAUGCCUAAGGCUAGGCUUGCGACUGGAGUGAAGUUGUAACAAGGUAGCCAUACUGGAAGGUGCUGCUG
Molecule: ribosomal RNA, 646 nt
Filed under: Triticum aestivum (bread wheat)
Lineage: Eukaryota; Viridiplantae; Streptophyta; Magnoliopsida; Poales; Poaceae
Description: rRNA SSU_rRNA_eukarya
Rfam family: Bacterial small subunit ribosomal RNA
Source: RNAcentral